Sapajus apella (tufted capuchin) is the source of this 101-nucleotide long non-coding RNA. RefSeq lists it as uncharacterized. Lineage: Eukaryota; Metazoa; Chordata; Mammalia; Primates; Cebidae. The transcript is spliced from 4 exons. The record is from RefSeq and is a predicted model, not a curated record.
AGCUGGGAUUAUAGGCAAUAAGGGUUACUUUUAAAUGUUAUCAAAUUUCCAAAUAUUUGAGGAAAUUCUAGGUAUCCUUCUGUUUUUGAGUUCUAGUUUAA